Molecule: ribosomal RNA, 364 nt
Filed under: Lissotriton italicus (South Italian newt)
Lineage: Eukaryota; Metazoa; Chordata; Amphibia; Caudata; Salamandridae
Description: partial 12S ribosomal RNA
Rfam family: Bacterial small subunit ribosomal RNA
Source: RNAcentral
CGCCAGAGUACUACGAGCAACAGCUUAAAACUCAAAGGACUUGGCGGUGCUCUACACCCCCCUAGAGGAGCCUGUUCUAUAAUCGAUAAUCCCCGAUAAACCUCACCAUCUAUUGCCAAUACAGCCUAUAUACCACCGUCCAGCCCACCCUUUAAGGGAAAAACAGUAGGCACAACUAUAAACAUAAAAACGUCAGGUCAAGGUGUAGCAGAUAAGAUGGGAAGAAAUGGGCUACAUUUUCUAACCUAGAAAACCACGGAGAAGUCUAUGAAACUAAACUAUGAAGGAGGAUUUAGCAGUAAAAAGAAAAAAGAGUGUUCUUUUUAAACCGGCAAUGGAGCGCGCACACACCGCCCGUCACCCU